GUGGGGAAUAUUGCACAAUGGGGGAAACCCUGAUGCAGCAACGCCGCGUGAAGGAUGACGGUUUUCGGAUUGUAAACUUCUUUUCUUAGUGACGAAGACAGUGACGGUAGCUAAGGAAUAAGCAUCGGCUAACUACGUGCCAGCAGCCGCGGUAAUACGUAGGAUGCAAGCGUUAUCCGGAUUUACUGGGUGUAAAGGGAGCGCAGGCGGGACUGCAAGUUGGAUGUGAAAUACCGUGGCUUAACCACGGAACUGCAUCCAAAACUGUAGUUCUUGAGUGAAGUAGAGGCAAGCGGAAUUCCGAGUGUAGCGGUGAAAUGCGUAGAUAUUCGGAGGAACACCAGUGGCGAAGGCGGCUUGCUGGGCUUUAACUGACGCUGAGGCUCGAAAGUGUGGGGAGCAAACAGGAUUAGAAACCCCAGUAGUCC
Molecule: ribosomal RNA, 428 nt
Filed under: uncultured bacterium
Lineage: Bacteria
Description: bacterial SSU rRNA
Rfam family: Bacterial small subunit ribosomal RNA
Source: RNAcentral